This 263-nucleotide ribosomal RNA is filed under the name uncultured bacterium. RNAcentral's name for it is "partial 16S ribosomal RNA". It matches the Rfam family "Bacterial small subunit ribosomal RNA", at positions 793 to 1055 of the family's 1533-position model. The record is from RNAcentral.
GUCCACGCCCUAAACGAUGUCAACUGGUUGUUGGGAAUGUUUCUUCUCAGUAACGUAGCUAACGCGUGAAGUUGACCGCCUGGGGAGUACGGCCGCAAGGUUGAAACUCAAAUGAAUUGACGGGGACCCGCACAAGCGGUGGAUGAUGUGGUUUAAUUCGAUGCAACGCGAAAACCUUACCUACCCUUGACAUGCCAGGAAUCUCAUAGAGAUAUGAGAGUGCUCGAAAGAGAACCUGGGCACAGGUGCUGCAUUGCCGUCGU